Molecule: unclassified non-coding RNA, 22 nt
Filed under: Perkinsus marinus
Lineage: Eukaryota; Perkinsozoa; Perkinsida; Perkinsidae
Also listed under: 1 other name
Description: trans-spliced leader sequence
Source: RNAcentral
ACCGUAGCCAUCUUGGCUCAAG